UUAUUCUAAUGUAACCAUAAAGCAGAAAAUCUGUAACACAGUACUAUGGAAAGCUCUUUCCUCAUUGUGUUUGUAAAUAGGGCACCCUAAAGUAAGAAUAACAACAUGAAAAUAAGACUCCUAAUCUGAAGGUAAAGUUAAGAAAUGAUACUGGCUUCCUUCCUAACCUUAAUUUCUUAAAUUUGAAGGCUUACACUUUUCUCCCCGCCCCACCACCACGACCAAUAGUAUUAUUAAAAUGAACAGGAGGUUAAUUUCCUGGGAAAUAUAUUGCCAAUGAUACAUGUUUCAUGAGUGGGGUCUAGGAUUUCACAAAAGGCCUCCUUUGAUCAUGGGAAGCUUCAGGAUGAAGAAUCAAUUAACAUGUUUCAAUUUUCCAGCUCACCCUCCAAAAGUGAGCCUGGAGACUGUACUCUGAAGUUACAUUUCAAGACUCAUUUUCUUACCCUCUCCUCUUUUUAUCUGAAUGCUAUUUCCUGGUAUGCUAGGUGUUAGGAAUACAAAAGUCAGAGUUGUCCUCUGGCCUUAAGCAGUUUACAACUUUAGUUGGAAUAGUGUAUCAGGCUCAACAGUGGAGGGGGAUAGAGGACUUUCCGAGCUCCCAGAGGAAGAAACGUAAAACCGACUGUGGAAAAAGAAACCAGGAAGAAAAGAUUCACAGAGGUAUUCCAAGUUAAAGGAAGAUGAGAAUGAGCCAGCUAGUUGGAGGAAAGGAAGCCCCAAUACAGUAAGCAGUGUGUCUGAAGGCUUGCAAAAGUUACAUUGGAAGGUGACAGGAGUAUACAUUGGGCCAGUUAGUAAACAUUUUGUGAGCUUUGAUUAUAUUAUUCCAAGUUCUUAUAUUUGAAUCAAUAUUUGAUUAUUCAAAACAAGUAAAUUUUGUGAAAGUCUUGUCUUUCAGACAACUCAUUCUGGCAGUAGUGUAAAAGGAAUUGCAGGGAAUUCAAUGGAAGCAGAAAGCUCUGUUAGAAGUCUAUGAGGAUAAGUCCAGGCCAGUAGGUGUGAGGCCUUGAACUAAAGCAGAGGCAGUGGAAUAGAUAGGAAAGAGGUUAAGGUGUUCAUUGUAUAAUAAGUGAAUGAUUGGUGUUCCGGUUAUCUAUCUAGCUAUGCCCUAAAACACUGGCAUAUAUGCAAGAUUGCAGAAGACAAGGACAACAUAGAAAAAUUUAUUGUAUUUCUAUACAGAAGCAAUGAGCAGACUGAAAAUGAAAUUAAGGAAGUGAUUCCAUUUAUAGUAACACCAAAAAGAAAUAGGAAUAAAUUUAACAAAAGCAGCGCAAAAACUUAUACUUUGAAAACUAUAAAACGUUGAAAGAAAAUAAAGAAGACUUAGAUAAGUGGAAAAACAUCCCACAUUAAUGACUUGGAACACUUAAUAUUAACAUAGUGGUACUCCCAAAAUUGGCCUGCAGAUUCCAUGCAAUCCCUGUCAGAAUUACAGCUGACUUUGCAGAAAUCAACAAACUGGUCGUAAAACUCAUGGAAAUGCAAGGGAACUAGGAUAGCCAAAACAAUUGAGAAAAACAAAUUGAAGGACUCACACUCCUGAUUUCAAAACUUACUACAAAACUAUAGUAAUCAAGACAGUGAUAGUGGUGUAAGAACAGACAUAUAUGUCAAUAGAACAGAAUUGAGAGUCAAAAAAGCCCUCACAUUUGUGGUCAGAUGAUUUUCCUCAAUGGUGCCACAACAAAUGGGGAAAGAAUUGUCUUUUCAGAGAUGAUAUUGGUGGAACAAUCAAACAUCUACAUGCAAAAGAGUGAAUUUAGACCCCUCACAUGUAAACAAAAAUUAAAAUGAAUCAGAGAUCUAAGUGUAAGUGCAAAAACUAUAAAACUUUUAGGAAAAAACAUAGGUUUAAAUCUUUGUGACCUUGAAUUAGUCAAUGGUUUCUUAGAUAAGACAGCAGAAGCAUAAGCAACCCAAAAAAGAUAAAUGGGGCCAGGUGCGGUGGCUCACGCCUGUAAUUCCAACACUUUGGGAGGCCAAGGUGGGUGGAUCACUUGAGGUCAGGAGUUCGAGACCAGCCUGGCCAACAUGGUGAAACCCAUCUCUACUGAAAAUACAAAAAUUAGCCAGACAUUAUAGUGGACGCCUGCAAUCCCAGCUACUCAGGAGGUGGAAGCAAGAGAAUCCCUUGAACCAAGGAGUUGGAAAUUGCAGUGGGCCAAGAUCGCAUGACUGCACUCCAACCUGGGUUACAGGGUGAGACUCCAUCUCAAAAAAAAA
This is a long non-coding RNA of Macaca fascicularis (crab-eating macaque), 2229 nucleotides long. Lineage: Eukaryota; Metazoa; Chordata; Mammalia; Primates; Cercopithecidae. The record is from Ensembl.